CGAGUGACACUGCGCCGAAAAUGUACCGGGGCUAAACAUAUUACCGAAGCUGUGGAUUGUCCUUUGGACAAUGGUAGGAGAGCGUUCUAAGGGCGUUGAAGCAUGAUCGUAAGGACAUGUGGAGCGCUUAGAAGUGAGAAUGCCGGUGUGAGUAGCGAAAGACGGGUGAGAAUCCCGUCCACCGAUUGACUAAGGUUUCCAGAGGAAGGCUCGUCCGCUCUGGGUUAGUCGGGUCCUAAGCUGAGGCCGACAGGCGUAGGCGAUGGAUAACAGGUUGAUAUUCCUGUACCACCUAUAAUCGUUUAAUCGAUGGGGGACGCAGUAGGAUAGGCGAAGCGUGCGAUUGGAUUGCACGUCUAAGCAGUAAGGCUGAGUAUUAGGCAAAUCCGGUACUCGUUAAGGCUGAGCUGUGAUGGGGAGAAGACAUUGUGUCUUCGAGUCGUUGAUUUCACACUGCCGAGAAAAGCCUCUAGAUAGAAAAUAGGUGCCCGUACCGCAAACCGACACAGGUAGUCAAGAUGAGAAUUCUAAGGUGAGCGAGCGAACUCUCGUUAAGGAACUCGGCAAAAUGACCCCGUAACUUCGGGAGAAGGGGUGCUCUUUAGGGUUAACGCCCAGAAGAGCCGCAGUGAAUAGGCCCAAGCGACUGUUUAUCAAAAACACAGGUCUCUGCUAAACCGUAAGGUGAUGUAUAGGGGCUGACGCCUGCCCGGUGCUGGAAGGUUAAGAGGAGUGGUUAGCUUCUGCGAAGCUACGAAUCGAAGCCCCAGUAAACGGCGGCCGUAACUAUAACGGUCCUAAGGUAGCGAAAUUCCUUGUCGGGUAAGUUCCGACCCGCACGAAAGGCGUAACGAUUUGGGCACUGUCUCAACGAGAGACUCGGUGAAAUCAUAGUACCUGUGAAGAUGCAGGUUACCCGCGACAGGACGGAAAGACCCCGUGGAGCUUUACUGUAGCCUGAUAUUGAAAUUCGGCACAGCUUGUACAGGAUAGGUAGGAGCCUUUGAAACGUGAGCGCUAGCUUACGUGGAGGCGCUGGUGGGAUACUACCCUAGCUGUGUUGGCUUUCUAACCCGCACCACUUAUCGUGGUGGGAGACAGUGUCAGGCGGGCAGUUUGACUGGGGCGGUCGCCUCCUAAAAGGUAACGGAGGCGCUCAAAGGUUCCCUCAGAAUGGUUGGAAAUCAUUCAUAGAGUGUAAAGGCAUAAGGGAGCUUGACUGCGAGACCUACAAGUCGAGCAGGGUCGAAAGACGGACUUAGUGAUCCGGUGGUUCCGCAUGGAAGGGCCAUCGCUCAACGGAUAAAAGCUACCCCGGGGAUAACAGGCUUAUCUCCCCCAAGAGUUCACAUCGACGGGGAGGUUUGGCACCUCGAUGUCGGCUCAUCGCAUCCUGGGGCUGUAGUCGGUCCCAAGGGUUGGGCUGUUCGCCCAUUAAAGCGGUACGCGAGCUGGGUUCAGAACGUCGUGAGACAGUUCGGUCCCUAUCCGUCGUGGGCGUAGGAAAUUUGAGAGGAGCUGUCCUUAGUACGAGAGGACCGGGAUGGACAUACCUCUGGUGUACCAGUUGUCGUGCCAACGGCAUAGCUGGGUAGCUAUGUGUGGACGGGAUAAGUGCUGAAAGCAUCUAAGCAUGAAGCCCCCCUCAAGAUGAGAUUUCCCAACUUCGGUUAUAAGAUCCCUCAAAGAUGAUGAGGUUAAUAGGUUCGAGGUGGAAGCAUGGUGACAUGUGGAGCUGACGAAUACUAAUCGAUCGAAGACUUAAUCA
This 1768-nucleotide ribosomal RNA is filed under the name Staphylococcus aureus subsp. aureus CIG547. RNAcentral describes it as "bacterial LSU rRNA". It matches the Rfam family "Bacterial large subunit ribosomal RNA", at positions 1150 to 2925 of the family's 2925-position model. The record is from RNAcentral. Lineage: Bacteria; Bacillati; Bacillota; Bacilli; Caryophanales; Staphylococcaceae.